This 825-nucleotide ribosomal RNA is filed under the name Staphylococcus gallinarum. RNAcentral's name for it is "bacterial SSU rRNA". It matches the Rfam family "Bacterial small subunit ribosomal RNA", at positions 161 to 973 of the family's 1533-position model. The record is from RNAcentral. Lineage: Bacteria; Bacillati; Bacillota; Bacilli; Caryophanales; Staphylococcaceae.
GGCUAAUGCCCGAUAACAUAUAUAACCGCAUGGUUCGGGACUGUAAGAUGGUUUUCCUCUCACUUAUCCAUGGAGCCCCGCCGUAUUAUCUGGUUUGUAAGGUAACGGCUUACACCAGCGACAAUACGUAUCCGACCUGAGAGGGUGAUCGGCCACACUGGAACUGAGACACACUCCUAACUCCUACAGGAGGGGGCAAUAUGGAAUCUUCCGCACUGGGCUAAAGCCUGACAGAGCACCGCCCCGUGAGUGAUGAAGGGUUUCGGCUCCUUAACUCUGUUAUGAAGGAAAAAAAGAUGUGUACCUUACUGUGCACCUCUUGACGGUGCAUAAUCACAAACCCACUCCUAACUACCUGCCACCGUCCUCGGUAUUAUGUAUGUGUCAAUCGUAAUCCCCGGUUAUUGGGCGCAAACCGCGCGUAUGCGGUUUCUUAUGUCUGAUGUGAAAGCCCACCCUGCAAACUUGGAGGGUCACUGGAAACUGGGAAACAUGUGUGCGGAGGAGAAAAGUGGGUUUUAUGUGUAUAUGUGUAAUGCGCAGAGAUAUGGAGGAACACCAAUGUGGAAAGCGACAUUCUGGUCUGUGCCUGAGACUGAUGUGCGAAAGAGCGUGGGAUCAAACAAGAUUAUAUACCCCGGUAUUCCACACGAUGUACACUGAGAGCUAAGUGUUUUGGGGUUUCCCCCCCUUAGUGCUGCGCUAACUCAUUAACACUCCACCUGGGGAGUACGACCGCACGUUGAGACUCUCACGAGUUGACGGGGACCCGCACAAACGGUGGAGCUUGUGCGUUUAAUUCGCAAACAACGCGUAACAAACUCU